RNAcentral lists this ribosomal RNA (535 nucleotides) under Pseudoalteromonas gelatinilytica. RNAcentral describes it as "bacterial SSU rRNA". It matches the Rfam family "Bacterial small subunit ribosomal RNA", at positions 87 to 617 of the family's 1533-position model. The record is from RNAcentral. Lineage: Bacteria; Pseudomonadati; Pseudomonadota; Gammaproteobacteria; Alteromonadales; Pseudoalteromonadaceae.
GCUGACGAGCGGCGGACGGGUGAGUAAUGCUUGGGAAUGUGCCUUAUGGUGGGGGACAACAGUUGGAAACGACUGCUAAUACCGGAUGAUGUCUACGGACCAAAGUGGGCGACCUUCGGGCCUCACGCCAUAAGAUUAGCCCAGAUGGGAUUAGCUGGUUGGUGAGGUAAUGGGUCACCAAGGCGACCAUCCCUAACUGGUUUGAGAGGAUGAUCAGCCACACUGGGACUGACACACGGUCCAAACUCCUACGGAAGGCAACAGUGGGGAAUAUUGCACAAUGGGGGCAAGCCUGAUGCAGCCAUGCCGCGUGUGUGAACAAGGGCUUCGGGUUGCAAAGCACUUUCAAUCACGAGGAAAGGUGAAGUGUUAAUAGCACUUAACUGUGACGUUACUUACCGAAGAAGCACCGGCUAGCUCCGUGCCACCCCGCGCGGUAAUACGGAGGGUGCCAGCGUUAAUCGGAAUUACUGGGCGUAAAGCGUACGCAAGCGGUUUGUUGAGCCAUAUGUGAAAAACCAUGGGGCUCAACCUG